GAUGUACAUGUCUGACGUUGUGUUUCUUUUAUAGCUUGGAUAUCUGGCAUCAAUCUGGCAUUCACCGAUAGCGACGGAUACAAAAGAAAGGCUUUUUUCUAUCGCAUUCUAAUUUAGAGGUGGUAUGCGGAACUAUUUUGAGAAUUCCAGACGUAAAAGUUUCUCUUUAGGACGACAAUACUCUGUAUUCAGUGAGAGAGUUCGAUCUGUUGUCGACUAUUAAGGCCUAGUAAAACUGUUAACACCUACAGCAACAAUUAAUCGAUUUGAAGCUUUCGCUUAUCCGAUACCAACAAACUAUAAAAAAGACAGCACGUGGUGAUCUAUUUACAUGAUAUCUAUCCCUCCAUCCAUCCAUCCAUCCAUCCAUCCAUCCAUUAGCUCAUCCAACCGUCCAUUUAUCCGUCCAUCCUUUCAUCCAUCCUUCCGUCCAUCUUUACAUCCAUCCAUCCAUCCUUCCGUACAGUUAAAUAGCUUAGUAACAAGUAGGAAUCAUUCAACUGAGCAUUGCUAUCCGAUGCGGCUUACUCGGUAAGCUUGAGUCUUUCCGACUACAACUUGCUUGCAUCGAAGGGGCAUACAUUUACUGCGCAUUAGAAGAAUACCUCCGCGAUUAGUUUAUCCCAAAAGAACAACCGUUUCUUCGACUUAAUUUUCACAGCUUGUCAGACAAGUGGGAAACAUGUACAGAUGACGAAAGAAAUAUAUUUUAUCAUUUUUACUUUAUUUUCAUUUAUUUAUGAAAAUCAAAGUAUAAGAAUUAUAUCCUGUUGACAAGAAUACCCCAAUAAUAUAAAAAUAUAUUAAGUUAAAAGAACAUUUGAGCGUAGACUGGAGUAUUGUGUGCAAAAAAUAAGGUGAACUUGUGAACCUUCCUGAUCAGUUUAUAUCCUGUAUAAUAGAUUAUUAUUAAGAAUUUAGCCAGAGAAAUAAAUUCGAACAGCGAAGUCUUAAGAAGCACUAGCAUUUAAAGCUAUCGGCUUUAUGAAAACCUCUACUGCACUUUAGAUUCGAACCCACGGCCAUUGAGAGCUGCUAGUCGAGAUUCUUUACCUUCGGCCAUUCAGGCGGAGUCUGUAGAAUACAACGUCAUUAGGAAUAGAAGAGAAACAUGCAAGAAUACUAUAGCCGGCCAAAGCCGCCCAUUACGCACUCUACACCUCACCUAAUAUAGUCACCAUAUCAUUCUCAACUACUUCUGGCUCUUACACAAACUUGUGCACAAGCUUAAUAGAUCAUGUACCGCAAAUGGUGUAGGGUAUUGAAAGUAGAAACGCUUUAAACAAACAAACGGUUGGGUUUGACCUACAAAUACAAGAAAACUUGAAGUUUUAAUCAACUGCUCAAGUAAAUGGUCUCAGAAGCAAUCCCGCCAAGCUGGCGAGCUAAACUUGUAAAAUCUUUAUAGUGUCAUAAGUGGAAAUGUAAAGUUUUUAGAUUCUCCAAUAAUUUGGGAUUGACGAGAUCUACUCAAUUCUCCUCUUCAAAUGAGUAUAAUUUUCUUACUUCUUCGUUAUUCCUCUUAAUACGCGAUUUUGCUCAAACCCUUUAGUCGAAAAACUUUUAUGUUACCUUUGAGUACAAUUCUAAAAAUGUAAAAUUAAUUGAAUGCAAUGCAAGUCGUUGUUAUUUAUUAAGCACACAAUACGCCCAGUUAAUGCAUUAUAGGUCAAUGGUUAAAGUUUUGCGCGUUCGCACUCUCCACGCACAAGUGUGGCCAUAGAAAUCAAAUGAUUAGAGAGUAACAGUGGAACGUACAUAUUUAACACAAGAUUACAACGAACCGCGCUAUUAUUUACUUACGCUCAUUAUUAAAAUGUGUCGUUGAGUGAAGAGAUGCACACGUAUAUGUACGUCCCAGUGGGUCGAUAGCAAAUUUCGAAUAAACUAUGAUUACCUCCGGGGUUCAUUUACUAUUUUUGAGAUUAUGUAGUAGUAGUGGUACGUCGCGUAGUCGCUAUGGUAGGAAUGCAGGGAAAUUUCGAGAAGAAGGUUCAACCGCCCGACCUUUGCUGAGAUUAUCGAAAGCUCAUUUUUCUUAAGAACAUUAUGCUUAUAGAGGAUCAAAUCAUUAAAAGGAAAAGUGGAAAUUUCCAAGUGAGGUCGCAGAGUUCGAUUUUUACGAGCUUUAAAUUCAUUUUGCUAAGCACAGCAAAUCAGGCAUUAAAGACAUGUGCCUAUGCAACAGCAAUUUCUGUGUAAAAAAAUCCGCGUUUAUUAUGUGAAGAUGGUAAAAAAUAUUCAACACCAGGUAUUGCCCCCAUCACUGGCUGUACAUGUUUCCGACCUCUUUGAAAAUUUUUUGGAUGUCAUACCAAACAAAGUGUUGCUCUUUUAUGACAAACAAAUCCUCAAGUCUUGCCGCACAGUUUCGUAAGAGGUGAAGGACGGCUCCUCAAGCGUGUGUCACAUCGUUGCGAACAAUUGGUCAGCAGAGGCGGCUCAAGUCUGGUGAGUGCUUCCAGUGUGCCGUGGAUGGGUUGGGAAUUUGGAUGGACGGCCGGACGGACGGACGGGUGAUGUUUAUUAUUGGUUGGCGAUUAUAUUAAAGCCUCUCUGAUCAAUCGGACUGACGAAGUUUGUAAACCAUUAUCUUUCGCUAAGGCUAGUCACAUAAGCGAUCAACCCUUAUGGUCUCUGUGAAUUUGUUUACAUUUUAUGUCAUUGACCUGUAGCCAACAUAAGCGUAAACAACGUUGGAAGUGUAGUUACGCAAAAAGUUUGCAAAAUAAAUGCUUAAAUAAGAAUACAUGCAGAACUUAAUUAAGUGCUAAAAAGAGGUUUACUCGACGUUUUUUGCAGUUUCUUUGCAGAGACUUUAUCCCGUAAGGGUAAAUGAAAGAAAAGUAUUUGGACUCUAGGCGCAUAAGAGAGCAUUUGUCUAUGUUCAACCUCGCACUUGCCACUAACAUGUUUCAGGCUAAACGCAAGUACUAUAGAAAAUGGUUUUUGGUAGGGUUAGCUCAACUGUCUUGAUAGAGAAAGAAUUUGGAAUUUUAUUAAUAUGCCUCGAUAAAAAUGGAUGACAAAUAAUAGUUUGGUGUGCGUGUUUUUUUUUUUUUUUUUUCUUAAUAUGACCCAUCAUCCAAGGGAUGUAUUGUAAAAAUUUGGUAAUGAGAGAGAAGUGGAGAAAGAGUAAGGAAAGUUGAAGAGGUUAUGAAACGACCGCAGCCUUGUGCUUGAAUACACAGUCAGUAAGUAUUGUACCUUUGCCGUUUGGGGCCUUAUUAUAGUUACGCCUCGAAUAUGGUAAAUUUGCUCUGCGGUUUGCACUGCAGACAUUAGAUCGACGAACAUGCCUAAAUCGGCUUAGAAGAUUUGAUGCCAAUCAACAACACAUAUAUUCUUUGUGGGUUACGUGAUGCCCCUCAUCAUUCAGUGAUGGGUAUAAAGAGAAUGAAAAAAGUUCGAGAUGGUCCGCCACUGUUUACACGCAGCGAAUUACAAUCACAGAAAACUUCGCACAUUUUUCAGUUGACAAGAGCCGCACGUUCCGCAUACAAACACCUUCGCGCUGAACAAAAUAAAUAGAAGUCUGAGACGUUGACCUGAAAUGCACGGCAGACAGUGAUAAGAUAUUUGUUCGAUGAAAAUUUGCACAAUUUUACUACAAAAGAAAAAUUCAUUUGAUGUUAUUAGUUAUUAACGGACUAUCCGUCCGUCAAUCA
Long non-coding RNA from Glossina fuscipes, 3668 nucleotides. RefSeq lists it as uncharacterized. The record is from RefSeq and is a predicted model, not a curated record. NCBI's taxonomy places the organism in Eukaryota, Metazoa, Arthropoda, Insecta, Diptera, Glossinidae. The transcript is spliced from 3 exons.